This 393-nucleotide ribosomal RNA is filed under the name uncultured bacterium. RNAcentral's name for it is "partial 16S ribosomal RNA". It matches the Rfam family "Bacterial small subunit ribosomal RNA", at positions 523 to 918 of the family's 1533-position model. The record is from RNAcentral.
AUACGGAGGAUGCGAGCGUUAUCCGGAUUUAUUGGGUUUAAAGGGAGCGUAGGUGGGAUAUUAAGUCAGCUGUGAAAGUUUGGGGCUCAACCUUAAAAUUGCAGUUGAUACUGGUUUCCUUGAGUGCGGUAUAGGUGGGCGGAAUUCGUGGUGUAGCGGUGAAAUGCUUAGAUAUCACGAAGAACUCCGAUCGCGAAGGCAGCUCACCGGGCCGGAACUGACACUGAUGCUCGAAAGUGCGGGUAUCAAACAGGAUUAGAUACCCUGGUAGUCCGCACAGUAAACGAUGAAUACUCGCUGUUUGCGAUACACUGUAAGCGGCCAAGCGAAAGCGAUAAGUAUUCCACCUGGGGAGUACGCCGGCAACGGUGAAACUCAAAUGAAUUGACGGGG